This is a non-coding RNA of Rattus norvegicus (Norway rat), 3630 nucleotides long. NCBI's taxonomy places the organism in Eukaryota, Metazoa, Chordata, Mammalia, Rodentia, Muridae. The record is from RefSeq and is a predicted model, not a curated record.
UAGAACCCCACGGGCACAUCUUGUGGCCCCAGCACUUACCACCUUCACCAGCUGAGACAUGGACACCUCAAACUGGAUGAUGACUGGAUGGGACACAUUAGCCACUGGCCGGAUGAUCUCGUUGUAAUCUUCGAACAGGAUUCCAGGGAUGAGAUUUGGGUCUCCAGGCUUGAGCGUCUGAGUCAUCUUGCUGGCCCAAUGAAGUUGUUUUUAAAGACCCAGCAGAAAGAAGCCAGUAUCUAACAGUUACACCCUGAAGGAUUCCAUCUAAGCAGCAGGCUUGAGGAUACUGAACCACAGCAGUAAAGAAAAGUGUGAUUCUGGAACUUUUGUGGCCUGUGCUUUUCAGUUGGUGCUAACUAAUGGACACCAGCAUUCUCUCCUGAGACUCCAGUUGGUUGGAAUAAAUUGCAAAAAGACUGAUUUCAAACUCCUGGGUUCCUGAUCCUUCUGACUGAGCUGCUCUCAUGAACUGCACACAGAAGUCAAUGUUGCAGCCAACGACACUGCCAAAGCCACCAAGUCACAAAAAGACAGAAUAGGGAGGCAAAGAUGGUCAGUAAGGGCACUGGCCUGAGGGUCCAAAGGCAAGCCCAGUGCUCGCUGUGUUGAAUAGCACAGGGCCUCUGGACCUCCCUUCCUACCCUCCCACUCAGAAGACUCUGUCUCCAUCACUUCUAUCUCUCUAGCUCCAUGACCUAGAAGUCUGAGGGAAAUGUAGAAAGAAGGCUGGGGGGGAGGUGGGGAUUUAGCUCAGUGGUAGAGCGCUUGCCUAGCAAGCACAAGGCCCUGGGUUCGGUCCCCAGCUCCAAAAAAAAAAAAAAAAAAAAGAAAAGAAAGAAAGAAGGCUGGGGUUGCACUCAGAUAUGGACACCCCUGAAGGCUGACCUUCUGCCCUGGCCUGACUCUAGGCUUUGGUCACCUGUCACUCACUUGUUGUACAACACGAUGUCAGGCAACCAGACACGCUUUGCGGGGAUCCUCAGAAUGUUCACCCCUUCAUAGCAGGAGCUGUUCCAGGCCAGGCGGUAGUCAGUCCAUUCCUAAGUACACAGGCAGGGCCAUUGUCACCUGUAGGUCCACUGUUACCAAAGAGCAAACCCAGAGGAAACAUACCUGGGCUGGGGACCCUCCAAUGUACUUACCUGUUUCAGCCAGAUGCUGGUGGUCAUGAUCUGUUCUCGCUCAUUCUGGGGAGGGAAAUGGGGGUGUCAGUUCUUUUGGAAGGAGGGACCUCACCAAUGGGCUAUCCUUUAUCACAGAAAAGCUCAGAGCCCCAGGGCUGUAUGACCCAGUUGUCACCUAAAUAUCUCUUUGGUGGUCUAUUAGUUACUUCUUGUAAUGCUGUGACCGCAUACGACAAGAAGCCGCUCAGGGUACGAGGGAUUGGUUUUAGCUCCCAGUUUCACGAUGAGGGUGGCAUGGCAGUUAGAGCUCCAGCCUCCAUGUGGAGCUUAUACCUGGUCAUACUGUAGGGGACUGUGGGAAGCAGGGACAGACUUGAGCUGGAACUGGGACCAGGCUACGACCCACAAGCCUGCUCACAACGGCGUUUCCUCAUCUCCGAAAGGUUUCACUGUUUCUCAGUGCAGCCUACUGCGGAACACGUGUUUAAAGGAACGAACCAGUGGAGGACAUUCCAUAUUUACACUACAAUACUUUGUCCCUGGUCCCCAUGAGCUCCUGGGGGCUCUUAUAGUGCAAUGAUACAUUUAAUACAACUUCCAAAGGCUGCAUAGUCUUAUGGUUCCAACACUGUAAAAGUCUGAAGUCUUUUCUAAGAUUCCAGACAUUCUCUUAACAGUGAGUCCCUGUAAAGUCAAAAGAGAAGUUACUUCUGAUAUAGAAUGUCACAAACAUUUGCAUUGUGAGAGACAUUCGGGAACAAAGCAGGGGCACAUGGGACCAGAGAGCCUGGAGCGAUGCUCAAUGGUUGAGAGCAGUGGCUGCUCUUGAGGAGGUUCCCAGCACCUACGUGGUGACUGGAACCUAUCUGUAACUCCAGUUCCAGAGGAUUCCACUCUCUCUUCUGGCCUCUAGGUAUGCUGCAGGCAUUUCGUGAUCAUAUAAACCAAAAGGCAAAAUACCCAUAUGCACAAAAUAAAAAAUAAAUCUUAAGAGACUGGAUCAGAGCAAGACUGAAACCUGUCAGGGAAAACCCCAAAUGUUGUAACUCUGUGUCCAUGUGGGAGCCUUGGCGGCUUCAUCUGCCUUCCCAGUUUCAUGCAAUGGCUUCUCAGGGACUCCUUGCAGAGAAUCCAGUUAUGCUAUACACUGUCUGCUGCAGCAGCCUUCUGAACCCUUGAAAGAGGUUCCACAACCCUGGUCCUCCUGCAUCUUCCACAUCUGACAAACCAGAAGCAAGUGGAAAACACCAAAUUCUCAAGCUGAGCCAGCUUGAGAAGCUCCCCUUCUAACACAGCUGCUCUCUACACCCUCAUGGCUGAGUCUGAGAAGACACUCCCAGCAGUGGUGGAUUUGAGUUGGAAACCCUGGCAGCAACUCUUUUAGCUCAGGCCCUCUCACUCACUGAGGCUUCAGUAUCGGGGUUGGGGGUGGAGGGAAUGGGGGUGGGGAGAGUCUUGUUCCUCUCAGGGUACCUCUCCUUUUUUCCUAGAGCACAAUGCCUGGUUUCUCUUAAAUCACACCAACCUUUUUUAGUAGCUAUAGCCAGUUUGUCUGCGACCCCCUCCAUCCUCAACUCUGGCCACAUUCACAUUCCUUUCCAAAGUAUGCUUUUUUUAUACCUUCCUGGCUUCAAUUUCUAGUAUAAAGUCUGCUAAACGCAGUAAGUAAUAACCAUGCCAAAACAUGAAAGUUAUACUGCCUUAAUAUUUCCUCUCCCCAAGCAACUUAGUCCAUUACCUUUUAAUUUAGCUACAUUCAGAUUGGUAGGGCACAGAUAGAACAGAACCAGAUUUGUUUUAUACCUUUCUUGAAAUCUCAUGAGCCUAGGUUUUUCCUGUCUCCCUUGUCACCCCCUACCCCCAACUUAGUCUUUCACAAAGUUUACCAAAAGGACCCAUUAAACUCUGAUUAUAGCAUGCUAGGACUUUCCUAUUUCUUUAGCUAUAUAUACCUCCAUUUCCCUGUUUGACUCAGUUCCAAGGCCUUGCACAUCCAGGACAGGUUUACCUUAGCAAUGGCCCCAUUUCUCAUUCUCAAUUUCCAUAUUAAGUAUUUUGUUCAUCCCUGCAGCCAAAUGCUUGACAAGUGACUAAGUGGGGGAGAAAGGAGUGGUCUGGGUCACAGUCUCAUGGCAAGGGAUACAGGGUAGCUGGGGCUUUGGCUUUGGCGUGGAAACUUGUGGCCAGUCACGUGGCAGCAGAUGGAUAACACUUACAACUGAAGCCAGGCUAAAAUCCAUAGCCUUGAGCCCACCCUCAGUGACCUACUGCUGACAGCCAGGCCUUACUAUUUAAACAUUCCAUGAUUUCUCCCAAGAGUCUCCAGCUGGAGACCAAGUAUGCUUACACCUGAGCCUGUCUGUGGAGGCCACUGACGUGCAAACCAUAUUAGGUAACUCAGACAUCACUUCACACCAGCACAUCAGAGACAAAGCUCAUGAUUCCACACUCAGCAAGCAUGAUGACAAUGAUGACAAUGAUGAUGACAGCUGACCCUGGCGGG